AGAGAGAGACAUGCGCGCAUAUCAAUAAGCGGAGGAAAAGAAACUAACUAGGAUUCCCUCAGUAACGGCGAGUGAAGCGGGAAGAGCUCAAAUUUGAAAUCCUUCAAGGUUCUACCUUGACGAAUUGUAGUUUAAAGAAGUGUUUUCUGUUGGAGUUUUGGUAAAAGUUCUUUGGAAUAGGACAUCAUAGAGGGUGAGAAUCCCGGUAUUUGACCAUUAUUUCCAGCUUUGUGAUACACUUUCAAAGAGUCGGAUUGUUUGGGAAUGCAGGUCCAAAAUGGGUGGUAAAUUUCAUCUAAAGCUAAAUAUUGGCGAGAGACCGAUAGCGAACAAGUACCGUGAGGGAAAGAUGAAAAGAACUUUGAAAAGAGAGUUAAACAGUACGUGAAAUUGUCAAAAGGGAAGCGUUUGACACCAGUGUUGUUUUCUCGAAAAUCAAUUAAAAAAGGCAGGAUUUUGUGUUGUAUUGACUUUAUCAGCUUUCUGCACUCUUUUCUUGUCUUUUUUUAAUGCACUUUUCGUUUAACAAGUCAACAUCAAUUUCUUUUGUUGUAAAAGGGUCAUUGGAAGGUGGCUUUCUUUUCGGAGAAAGUGUUUAUAGCCUUUGGCCUCUGCAAUCGGAGAGAUUGAGGUCUGCAGCGUAGAUCCUUCGGGGUUAGAUACAUUUGUGCUAAGUUAUAGCCUUUCAUAGACAACUUGUUGACUAUGAUCAGUCAUGUAGCUUACUCGCUUAUGCUAUUUUACCUACGCUUAGGAUGUUGAUGUGAUACUGCGAGC
This 777-nucleotide ribosomal RNA is filed under the name uncultured Neocallimastigales. Its description in RNAcentral is "partial large subunit ribosomal RNA". It matches the Rfam family "Eukaryotic large subunit ribosomal RNA", at positions 23 to 645 of the family's 3401-position model. The record is from RNAcentral. Lineage: Eukaryota; Fungi; Neocallimastigomycota; Neocallimastigomycetes; Neocallimastigales.